AGAUCAACUUCGGAGUUAUCUUUACUGACUCCCUUAGUUGCCUCCAAGCCCUAUCCCAGAAUCCCUUUAGAUCUAAACUCCAUUGUCCUAUUGUCCUAGAUAUCAAAAAGUCCCUUUUCUCUUGCACUCGGCAAGAGAAAGUUGUCCACCUAGUUUGGAUUCCCAGUCAUUGCGGUAUAACGGGAAAUGAAUGUGCCGACGCAUUGGCUAAAGAUGCAUGCACAUCUGAAUCAGCGGACCUUGCACACUUCUCCCUUCAAGGGCAUGACCUACUAAACGUACCUAAAUUGAGUCUUGAGACCUCGUGGCAGGAAUGGUGGAAUAUCUCCAGCAGAAAGAAGGGUAGUUCGUACUACGCUAUCCAACCGGCAGUAAAAUCGAAACCGUGGUUUACUCGUUUUAAAAAAUACCCUAAACAAGUUAUUUCGGUUCUAUGCAGGAUACGUUUAGGACAUUGUUGUACUCCGGUCUUCUUGCGCAAAAUUCGGGUGCAGGACUCAUCUCUCUGCGAGUGUGGACUGGAUGAGGGUUCCCUGGACCAUAUAUUUUUUAAUUGUCCCAAUAACUCAUCUUUUGAUUUAUAUGGUCGUCUCCAAAAACUGAAGAUUCCUCUCCCUACUAAUUUCCGUUCCCUCUUAACUUACUCCUGUCCAGAACUGCUCCAGGCGCUAUUGAUGUCCAUCCAUCGUAAUAAUAUUAAAUUAUAAACUCUGGCCUAUCUAUUUAGACCACUGUUUGUAUAAAUGUGUGCCGUCCUACUAACACGAUAAGUUACACAAGUUUGACUACAACAUCAACUUAAUUUUGUCUUUUUGUCAAUCACAAGCACUACUUGCUUCUCCUUCCACUUGUCAUUGGCAGAAUCGUCGACGUUUGCAUCGACAUGGAUUGCCAUAAAUAAAAA
This is a long non-coding RNA of Helicoverpa zea (corn earworm), 904 nucleotides long. RefSeq lists it as uncharacterized. The record is from RefSeq and is a predicted model, not a curated record. The transcript is spliced from 2 exons. Lineage: Eukaryota; Metazoa; Arthropoda; Insecta; Lepidoptera; Noctuidae.